UUGCCGUUGAAGCUGAGUUCUGGAUGAACUCAGGUUCGGCAGCCGAAGGUUCAUUCGGCCGCCGAACCUCUUGCAUGGUGGCUUAGGCUGCCACAGUUUGCCCCCGCGAGUUUUGCAUGUUCGGCUCUGUGUGGGGGAUUCGGCCGCCGAAGGUGCUUGAGUUUCGUCUCUGGAGAGGACUUUCGGCCGCCGAACCUGCCGCCGAAAGUGUCCUGUCCAGCUUUCUUUUGCAUGCUUUGCAUGGUUAUUAGAGUGAAUUUAAG
RNAcentral lists this long non-coding RNA (263 nucleotides) under Manihot esculenta (cassava). Its description in RNAcentral is "long non-coding RNA (MESC_LNC000723)". Lineage: Eukaryota; Viridiplantae; Streptophyta; Magnoliopsida; Malpighiales; Euphorbiaceae. The record is from RNAcentral.